RNAcentral lists this ribosomal RNA (451 nucleotides) under uncultured Pseudomonadota bacterium. RNAcentral's name for it is "bacterial SSU rRNA". It matches the Rfam family "Bacterial small subunit ribosomal RNA", at positions 36 to 470 of the family's 1533-position model. Lineage: Bacteria; Pseudomonadati; Pseudomonadota. The record is from RNAcentral.
ACCUGGCGGCGUGCCUACCAUGCAGUCGCGCGAGAAGGGGAGCUUGCUCCCUGAGUAAAGCGGCAGACGGGUGAGUAAUACGUGGGCAACCUGCCCUCGAGUGGGGAAUAACCCAGGGAAACUUGGGCUAAUACCGCAUGACAUCAUCGGUCCCUCGGUAUCGAUGAUCAAAGCUGGCCUCUACAUGUAAGCUGGCGCUUGAGGAGGGGCUCACGCCCGAUUAGCUAGUUGGUGGGGUAAUGGCCUACCAAGGCGACGAUCGGUAGCCGGCCUGAGAGGGUGUCCGGCCACACUGGAACUGAGACACGGUCCAGACUCCUACGGGAGGCAGCAGUGAGGAAUUUUGGUCAAUGGGGGAAACCCUGAACCAGCGACGCCGCGUGGAUGAUGAAAGCCUUCGGGUCGUAAAAUCCUGUCGAGGGGGAAGAAAUGCCUUUUUGUCAAUAGCGAA